GGGGGCGCUUUGGCUUCGACGGGGGCAUGAUUGGUCUAGUAAGCGAGUAGAGGCACGCAUGUCACCUCUUAAAUAAAGUAUGCAAAAAUGUAAACGCAGAAAACAAUUUUGCAAUAGCAGCUUAAUUUAGCCGCUCAUCCGCCCAGGCUCCCCAUGGCUUGGAUCACGGGUGUCAUGAAGUGGGAAACGAAGUUUAGCAAAGCUUUGAGCUAAAGGGGUAUUUAUGAAGCUACUGAAGGGAAGAGCCCGUCUAUAGGCGCUCCUGGAGGAAAAUUUAAAAUGUAGAAUACACUCGUAGAAAGCUAGGUUGGUCGGCUUUCGGACAUGGGUUCGAAACCCAUCGCCUCCACCA
This 352-nucleotide transfer-messenger RNA is filed under the name Clostridium gasigenes. Its description in RNAcentral is "Standard tmRNA". It matches the Rfam family "transfer-messenger RNA". Rfam says of the family: Bacterial tmRNA, also known as 10Sa RNA or SsrA, is named for its dual tRNA and mRNA-like properties. Its role is to liberate the mRNA from a stalled ribosome. The record is from Rfam by way of RNAcentral. Lineage: Bacteria; Bacillati; Bacillota; Clostridia; Eubacteriales; Clostridiaceae.